This 157-nucleotide ribosomal RNA is filed under the name Candidatus Aenigmatarchaeota archaeon. The record is from RNAcentral. Lineage: Archaea; Nanobdellati; Candidatus Aenigmatarchaeota.
CAGGGCGGCCAAAGCGGGGAGGUUCACCCGUUCCCAUACCGAAAUUGAAACCGCCCUGCAACCGGUGGUUUUUGACGGGAACACGGAAGUUAAGCUCCCCAGCGAUGUGGCUUGUACUAUACCGUCAUGGUAUGGGAAGGCCAGGACGCCGCCCACU